RNAcentral lists this ribosomal RNA (494 nucleotides) under uncultured bacterium. Its description in RNAcentral is "bacterial SSU rRNA". It matches the Rfam family "Bacterial small subunit ribosomal RNA", at positions 9 to 518 of the family's 1533-position model. The record is from RNAcentral.
GAAUUCGAUCGUGUCAGAACGAACGCUGGUGGCGUGUCUAUACAUGCAAGUCGAGCGGCGUAGCAAUACGUAGCGGCGAACGGGUGAGUAACGCGUAAGCAAUCUGCCCCAUAUCAGGAAAUACCCGUGCCAACGCGCGGUUAAUGUCCAGGAGAGUGGCCCCUUGCAUGAGGGGUUGACUAGAGAUUUAUCGGUAUGGGAUGAGCUUGCGUCCGAUUAGCUAGUUGGCGGGCAACGGCCCACCAAGGCGACGAUCGGUAGCCGGCCUGAGAGGGUGAUCGGCCACAUUGGGACUGAGAUACGGCCCAGACUCCUACGGGAGGCAGCAGUAGGGAAUAUUGCACAAUGGGGGGAACCCUGAUGCAGCAACGCCAACGUGUGGGAAGAAGCAUUUCGGUGUGUAAACCACUGUCGUGAGGGAAUAAGGCCCAGUUUAGGCUGGGAUUGAAUGUACCUCGAAAGGAAGCACCGGCAAACUUCGUGCCAGCCGCGGC